Molecule: ribosomal RNA, 440 nt
Filed under: uncultured bacterium
Lineage: Bacteria
Description: partial 16S ribosomal RNA
Rfam family: Bacterial small subunit ribosomal RNA
Source: RNAcentral
CCUACGGGAGGCAGCAGUGGGGAAUAUUGCACAAUGGGGGAAACCCUGAUGCAGCGACGCCGCGUGAGUGAAGAAGUAUUUCGGUACGUAAAGCUCUAUCAGCAGGGAAGAAAAUGACGGUACCUGACUAAGAAGCCCCGGCUAACUACGUGCCAGCAGCCGCGGUAAUACGUAGGGGGCAAGCGUUAUCCGGAUUUACUGGGUGUAAAGGGAGCGUAGACGGCAGCGCAAGUCUGGAGUGAAAUCCCAUGGCUUAACCAUGGAACUGCUUUGGAAACUGUGCAGCUAGAGUGCAGGAGAGGUAAGCGGAAUUCCUAGUGUAGCGGGGAAAUGCGUAGAUAUUAGGAGGAACACCAGUGGCGAAGGCGGCUUACUGGACUGUAACUGACGUUGAGGCUCGAAAGCGUGGGGAGCAAACAGGAUUAGAUACCCCUGUAGUC